Molecule: ribosomal RNA, 501 nt
Filed under: uncultured bacterium
Lineage: Bacteria
Description: partial 16S ribosomal RNA
Rfam family: Bacterial small subunit ribosomal RNA
Source: RNAcentral
GAUGAACGCUAGCGGCAGGCCUAACACAUGCAAGUCGAGGGGCAGCACAGAAACAGCAAUGUUUUGGUGGCGACCGGCGGACGGGUGCGUAACGCGUAUGCAACCUACCUUUAACAGGGGGAUAACGGAGAGAAAUUUCCACUAAUACCCCAUAACAUCGAUCAAGGCAUCUUGAUUGGUUGAAAACUCCGGAGGUUAAAGAUGGGCAUGCGUUGUAUAGGUAGUUGGUGAGGUAAUGGCUUACCAAGCCUACGAUACAUAGGGGAACUGAGAGGAUAGCCCCCCGCACUGGUACUGAGACACGGACCAGACUCCUCCGGGAGGCAGCAGUGAGGAAUAUUGGUCAAUGGGUGCAAACCUGAACCAGCCAUGCCGCGUGCAGGAAGACGGCUCUAUGAGUUGUAAACUGCUUUUAAACAGGGAUAAAGCACAGUAUGUAUACUGUGUUGAAGGUACUGUAAGAAUAAGGAUCGGCUAACUCCGUGCCAGCAGCCGCAGUAA